CCUACGGGAGGCAGCAGUGAGGAAUAUUGGUCAAUGGGCGAGAGCCUGAACCAGCCAAGUCGCGUGAGGGAAGACGGUCCUAUGGAUUGUAAACCUCUUUUGCCGGGGAGCAAAAAGCGGUACGUGUACCGCAUCGAGAGUACCCGGAGAAAAAGCAUCGGCUAACUCCGUGCCAGCAGCCGCGGUAAUACGGAGGAUGCGAGCGUUAUCCGGAUUUAUUGGGUUUAAAGGGUGUGCAGGCGGCGAGUUAAGUCAGCGGUAAAAUUUCGGGGCUCAACCCCGACAAGCCGUUGAAACUGGCUGGCUAGGGGGGGCGAGAAGUAGGCGGAAUGCGGGGGGUAGGGGGGAAAUGCA
This 354-nucleotide ribosomal RNA is filed under the name uncultured bacterium. RNAcentral describes it as "partial 16S ribosomal RNA". It matches the Rfam family "Bacterial small subunit ribosomal RNA", at positions 338 to 690 of the family's 1533-position model. The record is from RNAcentral.